Molecule: small nuclear RNA, 117 nt
Filed under: Dichanthelium oligosanthes
Lineage: Eukaryota; Viridiplantae; Streptophyta; Magnoliopsida; Poales; Poaceae
Description: U2 spliceosomal RNA
Rfam family: U2 spliceosomal RNA
About the family: U2 is a small nuclear RNA (snRNA) component of the spliceosome (involved in pre-mRNA splicing).
Source: Rfam by way of RNAcentral
AUGCCUUGCUGGGCCUUUUGCUAGGAUCAUAUCUGUUCUUAUCAGUUUAAUAUCUGAUAUGUGAGGCUUAUCCUCACAACGAUAUUAAAUUUAUAUUUAUUCACAUGUGCAACCAAA